CAGCUUCCCCUCCUCCCGCUUACGUAUCAUCUCCCGCUGGAAUCGAGCCACGGAGCGCAGCAGUUCGUCUCCGCCCAUCUCCGACGGCGGCAGCACGAUGCUGCAGUCCAGGAAGCUGUUGAUGGCGUUCAGGAGGUCCUGACGGUCGUCCGCCAGGAGAAAGGACAAUAAACAAGAAAGGAAACGACAUCUCUGUGGGCGCACCUUGUCGGACAUGAGCGUGGAGAUGGAGCGUCCAAUCUGGUGGUAGUCCAUGCUGGUGGUGGCGGGCCCCAGCAGGACGAACAGGAAGCGGACGGGCACGGGAACCUCCAGCACCGACUCCAGCUCCACGGCCUCCUGCAGCCGCACAAACGCCAUGGUGGGCUGCUCCAGGAAGUCCACGCUGCCUGGAACGCGGCGGAAACGGCGGCGGUCAACACCUCGGAGGACGAUUUAAGGCCCCUUGUUCAUUUGAGAUCGAUGACUCACCCACAAGGACAACGGUGGCCUCAGCGUUUUCUGGAAUCUUCUCGAGCAGCUUGAGCUCGUGCUUGGACUUGGAGCGAUGCAUGCCCGACACGAUGGCGGGUUCCUUUUGCUGGAGAGGUGGGACAUUUUUAGAAUAGUGAAUCUAUUCGGGCUUACGAAUAGCAUCUAUGUCUAGACAGACAAUAUAACAACACUCACAGGCAUAUAUUCUUUAUCCUCUGCAAAGAACGGCUAAUAUUACAGUCAUACUGAGGAGCAGAGACCGUCUCCAUAUACAGUACAGUGGCUUGUAACGCAAAACACCUGUAUUUCAAAUCAUCUUCCACAUUGAAAUGAUUGGAAAUGCCAUUAAUCCGUUCCAGCAUCCCAAAACCCCCAAAGAGUAAUAAUGUCAUUAAAUAGAAUGAAAAGUAUUAAACGUAAGUUUGUGCAUCAUGA
Phyllopteryx taeniolatus (common seadragon) is the source of this 909-nucleotide long non-coding RNA. RefSeq lists it as uncharacterized. NCBI's taxonomy places the organism in Eukaryota, Metazoa, Chordata, Actinopteri, Syngnathiformes, Syngnathidae. The record is from RefSeq and is a predicted model, not a curated record. The transcript has 2 exons.